Molecule: long non-coding RNA, 254 nt
Organism: Rosa rugosa (rugosa rose)
Lineage: Eukaryota; Viridiplantae; Streptophyta; Magnoliopsida; Rosales; Rosaceae
Exons: 3
Source: RefSeq, a predicted model, not a curated record
GGACACUCGAAGUAGCCGGUUGAAAUUGUCAAUAUUCCUGCUGCUAUUGUAGCCUCAAUUUGGUUUUAAUGUUGCAAAGAACGUCAAGGGCAGACAAUCUUGAGGAUCAAUGAUAUCUUUUGCUAUACUAGAUGAAUCACUAGUACAUUCAAACAAUUGAUACCUUGGACAAAAGAAGAGUUGACAGGUUAGAUGAAAGCUCAAUGCUAGCUAUCAGUUGAGUGACGAGCCCAGAUUUCUCUGUUGUAGUUAGG